Non-coding RNA from Schizosaccharomyces pombe (fission yeast), 410 nucleotides. The record is from the annotation of a GenBank genome assembly. Lineage: Eukaryota; Fungi; Ascomycota; Schizosaccharomycetes; Schizosaccharomycetales; Schizosaccharomycetaceae.
UAUCUCCAUCUUACAAAUCUUACUCAUUCAUUUGAUAGCUAGAGCCAUCAUCCUGUAUAUAGACUCAAAAAGAAUGGAAUGGGCCUUGUCUUUUCCAUCUUUCUCCAUGAUACGAAUUUACGGACUAGUGUGCUUGUCACUUUCCACUCGCUAAUCUCUAGCACGUGGAAUGCAACCGCACAGGGAAACGAGGAUGUAAAGCACCAAGCAAAAGCAAUGCAGUGGAAUACGAAAACGGUGUGUGUAACGACAUAAAAAAAAUCUCAUUCUUAUCAGUAAUGAUUAGAUAGUGUCUUGUUCUUUGUCUUUGUUUUUGCUUCUUGACUUGCCCGAUAUACUUGUAUUAAAAAUAUACUCCAUAGUACCGGAUUUUACGCAUUGCUGGGAUGUAAUAAAUGUGUGAUAUUAUU